This 546-nucleotide small RNA is filed under the name Pongo abelii (Sumatran orangutan). Its description in RNAcentral is "retained intron". The record is from RNAcentral. Lineage: Eukaryota; Metazoa; Chordata; Mammalia; Primates; Hominidae.
UUCCUCAGCCGCCUGUGCCAGGGGGAAGAGCUGCAGUCCGACCGGGAUGAGACCGGGGCCUACCUCAUUGACCGUGACCCCACCUACUUCGGGCCCAUCCUGAACUUCCUCCGGCAUGGCAAGCUGGUGCUGGACAAGGACAUGGCUGAGGAGGGGGUCCUGGAGGAAGCCGAGUUCUACAACAUCGGCCCGCUGAUCCGCAUCAUCAAAGACCGGAUGGAAGAGAAGGACUACACAGUCACCCAGGUCCCGCCCAAACACGUGUACCGCGUGCUGCAGUGCCAGGAGGAGGAGCUCACGCAAAUGGUCUCCACCAUGUCUGAUGGCUGGCGCUUCGAGCAGCUGGUGAACAUCGGCUCCUCCUACAACUACGGCAGCGAGGACCAGGCAGAGUUCCUGUGUGUGGUGUCCAAGGAGCUCCACAGCUCCCCGAACGGGCUGAGCUCAGAGUCCAGCCGCAAAACCAAGGUGAGCCCACCCGCCUCAGCCCGUGUCCAGAGAAGGCUCCUGUCUCCCUCCACCCUCCCCACCUGUCCCACCCCUGCG